GGUUCGGCUGACGCUCAAGCCCAAGCCCAAGCUCAAGCUCUAACUGCUGGGCUCGGAGGCAGUUCCGCUGAAGCUCAGGCACAGGCUCAGGCUCUCGCUCAAGGUCUCGGAGGUGCCGGAGCCCAAGCUCAAGCUCAAGCUCAAGCAGCUGGACUACUAGGCGGAUGGGGUGGAGCUGACGCUCAAGCCCAAGCUCAAGCUCAAG
This is a long non-coding RNA of Cydia strobilella, 205 nucleotides long. RefSeq lists it as uncharacterized. The transcript is spliced from 3 exons. The record is from RefSeq and is a predicted model, not a curated record. Lineage: Eukaryota; Metazoa; Arthropoda; Insecta; Lepidoptera; Tortricidae.